AUUACAAGAACCCCUAUGCUACUUUUAAGAUCCAAUCAGUAAAAUAGAAGAUCAUUGUGGGAAGACCAUUUUGGCUAAUUACACAAAAUAACAAAACACUACCCAGAUAAUUAUUAAGCUAAAUUUCCAAACUUUGGGGCAACCCAUUUAGACGAAUCAACAGAAUAAUAAUUGGGAAUACCAAUUUCUAAGUAUUUUAUGCAAUUUCUCAGUUUUAGGGUUGCUUACUUUACCUGCCUGGGCUGCGAGAGAGAGUGAGAGGAUGAGAGUGGUGCGGCGGAUUUGAGAGCAGCCUAAGAUUGAGCAGCUAAGAGUGGGAGCCUUAGAUUAGAUCGGUUGGGCGGUGGACGGCGGGCGAUGGCUAGAGAAAGAGAACGAGAGAGAUGAACAAGACAGAGACAGAGACGAGAGAGAGAGAAACAAAAACGAAAACGCGUGUCCAGCUUCUUUCUUUUUCUUUUGUUUCUUUUAUUAAAUUACAAAAAAAAAAAAAAUUGGGGGUGGGGCAGCCCGGGCACGUGCCAGGGCAUGCGGGCGGCAUCUCCGCCACUGAGAGAGAAGACAAAACAGUUUUUAUUUUAUUUUUAAGAAAAAAGUAUCAUUAUUUAUGUGCUGUCAAAGUGUGAUUGGAUGUGCCUAAAUUUCAUGUGUUGGGUAUGUUUAUU
This 665-nucleotide long non-coding RNA is filed under the name Trifolium pratense (red clover). RNAcentral describes it as "long non-coding RNA (TPRA_LNC007591)". Lineage: Eukaryota; Viridiplantae; Streptophyta; Magnoliopsida; Fabales; Fabaceae. The record is from RNAcentral.